This 424-nucleotide ribosomal RNA is filed under the name uncultured bacterium. RNAcentral describes it as "bacterial SSU rRNA". It matches the Rfam family "Bacterial small subunit ribosomal RNA", at positions 359 to 774 of the family's 1533-position model. The record is from RNAcentral.
GAAUAUUGGCCAAUGGGGGGAACCCUGAUCCAGCCAUGCCGCGUGUGUGAAGAAGGCCUUUUGGUUGUAAAGCACUUUAAGCGAGGAGGAGGCUACUCUAGUUAACACCUAGAGAUAGGGGACGUUACUCGCAGAAUAAGCACCGGCCAACUCUGGGCCCGCAGCCGCGGGAAUACAGAGGGUGCAAGCGUUAAUCGGAUUUACUGGGCGUAAGGCGCGCGUAGGUGGCCAAUUAAUUCAAAUGUGAAAUCCCCGAGCUUAACUUGGGAAUUGCAUUCGAUGCUGGUUGGCUAGAGUAUGGGAGAGGAUGGUAGAAUUCCAGGUGUAGCGGUGAAAUGCGUAGAGAUCUGGAGGAAUACCGAUGGCGAAGGCAGCCAUCUGGCCUAAUACUGACACUGAGGUGCGAAAGCAUGGGGAGCAAACA